UACGCGGGGGGCAAGCGUUGUUCGGAUUCAUUGGGCGUAAAGGGUGCGUAGGUGGCGCCGUAAGUCGGGUGUGAAAUUUCGGAGCUUAACUCCGAAACUGCAUUCGAUACUGCGGUGCUUGAGGACUGGAGAGGAGACUGGAAUUCAUGGUGUAGCAGUGAAAUGCGUAGAGAUCAUGAGGAAGACCAGUGGCGAAGGCGGGUCUCUGGACAGUUCCUGACACUGAGGCACGAAGGCCAGGGGAGCAAACGGG
RNAcentral lists this ribosomal RNA (253 nucleotides) under uncultured bacterium. RNAcentral's name for it is "partial 16S ribosomal RNA". It matches the Rfam family "Bacterial small subunit ribosomal RNA", at positions 524 to 776 of the family's 1533-position model. The record is from RNAcentral.